GACGGAGGGUGCAAGCGUCAAUCGGAAUUACUGGGCGUAAAGCGCACGCAGGCGGUCUGUCACGUCGGAUGUGAAAUCCCCGGGCUAAACCUGGGAACUGAAUCCGAAACUGGCAGGCUAGAGUCUUGUAGAGGGGGGUAGAAUUCCAGGUGUAGCGGUGAAAUGCGUAGGGAUCUGGGUGAAUACCGGUGGCGAAGGCGGCCCCCUGGACAAAGACUGACGCUCAGGUGCGAAAGCGUGGGGAGCAAACAGG
This 253-nucleotide unclassified non-coding RNA is filed under the name uncultured Enterobacteriaceae bacterium. Its description in RNAcentral is "contains 16S-23S intergenic spacer region". It matches the Rfam family "Bacterial small subunit ribosomal RNA", at positions 524 to 776 of the family's 1533-position model. The record is from RNAcentral. Lineage: Bacteria; Pseudomonadati; Pseudomonadota; Gammaproteobacteria; Enterobacterales; Enterobacteriaceae.